RNAcentral lists this ribosomal RNA (253 nucleotides) under uncultured Eubacteriales bacterium. RNAcentral's name for it is "uncultured Clostridiales bacterium partial 16S ribosomal RNA". It matches the Rfam family "Bacterial small subunit ribosomal RNA", at positions 524 to 776 of the family's 1533-position model. Lineage: Bacteria; Bacillati; Bacillota; Clostridia; Eubacteriales. The record is from RNAcentral.
UACGUAGGGGGCAAGCGUUAUCCGGAUUUACUGGGUGUAAAGGGUGCGUAGGUGGCAGGGCAAGUCAGAUGUGAAAGCCCGGGGCCCAACCCCGGUACUGCAUUUGAAACUGUCCGGCUGGAGUGCAGGAGAGGUAAGCGGAAUUCCUAGUGUAGCGGUGAAAUGCGUAGAUAUCGCGCAGAACCCCGAUUGCGAAGGCAGCGUGCCGUGCCGCCACUGACGCUGAGGCACGAAAGCGCGGGGAUCGAACAGG